This 2927-nucleotide ribosomal RNA is filed under the name Staphylococcus aureus. RNAcentral's name for it is "bacterial LSU rRNA". It matches the Rfam family "Bacterial large subunit ribosomal RNA". Lineage: Bacteria; Bacillati; Bacillota; Bacilli; Caryophanales; Staphylococcaceae. The record is from RNAcentral.
AGAUUAAGUUAUUAAGGGCGCACGGUGGAUGCCUUGGCACUAGAAGCCGAUGAAGGACGUUACUAACGACGAUAUGCUUUGGGGAGCUGUAAGUAAGCUUUGAUCCAGAGAUUUCCGAAUGGGGAAACCCAGCAUGAGUUAUGUCAUGUUAUCGAUAUGUGAAUACAUAGCAUAUCAGAAGGCACACCCGGAGAACUGAAACAUCUUAGUACCCGGAGGAAGAGAAAGAAAAUUCGAUUCCCUUAGUAGCGGCGAGCGAAACGGGAAGAGCCCAAACCAACAAGCUUGCUUGUUGGGGUUGUAGGACACUCUAUACGGAGUUACAAAGGACGACAUUAGACGAAUCAUCUGGAAAGAUGAAUCAAAGAAGGUAAUAAUCCUGUAGUCGAAAAUGUUGUCUCUCUUGAGUGGAUCCUGAGUACGACGGAGCACGUGAAAUUCCGUUGGAAUCUGGGAGGACCAUCUCCUAAGGCUAAAUACUCUCUAGUGACCGAUAGUGAACCAGUACCGUGAGGGAAAGGUGAAAAGCACCCCGGAAGGGGAGUGAAAUAGAACCUGAAACCGUGUGCUUACAAGUAGUCAGAGCCCGUUAAUGGGUGAUGGCGUGCCUUUUGUAGAAUGAACCGGCGAGUUACGAUUUGAUGCAAGGUUAAGCAGUAAAUGUGGAGCCGUAGCGAAAGCGAGUCUGAAUAGGGCGUUUAGUAUUUGGUCGUAGACCCGAAACCAGGUGAUCUACCCUUGGUCAGGUUGAAGUUCAGGUAACACUGAAUGGAGGACCGAACCGACUUACGUUGAAAAGUGAGCGGAUGAACUGAGGGUAGCGGAGAAAUUCCAAUCGAACCUGGAGAUAGCUGGUUCUCUCCGAAAUAGCUUUAGGGCUAGCCUCAAGUGAUGAUUAUUGGAGGUAGAGCACUGUUUGGACGAGGGGCCCCUCUCGGGUUACCGAAUUCAGACAAACUCCGAAUGCCAAUUAAUUUAACUUGGGAGUCAGAACAUGGGUGAUAAGGUCCGUGUUCGAAAGGGAAACAGCCCAGACCACCAGCUAAGGUCCCAAAAUAUAUGUUAAGUGGAAAAGGAUGUGGCGUUGCCCAGACAACUAGGAUGUUGGCUUAGAAGCAGCCAUCAUUUAAAGAGUGCGUAAUAGCUCACUAGUCGAGUGACACUGCGCCGAAAAUGUACCGGGGCUAAACAUAUUACCGAAGCUGUGGAUUGUCCUUUGGACAAUGGUAGGAGAGCGUUCUAAGGGCGUUGAAGCAUGAUCGUAAGGACAUGUGGAGCGCUUAGAAGUGAGAAUGCCGGUGUGAGUAGCGAAAGACGGGUGAGAAUCCCGUCCACCGAUUGACUAAGGUUUCCAGAGGAAGGCUCGUCCGCUCUGGGUUAGUCGGGUCCUAAGCUGAGGCCGACAGGCGUAGGCGAUGGAUAACAGGUUGAUAUUCCUGUACCACCUAUAAUCGUUUUAAUCGAUGGGGGGACGCAGUAGGAUAGGCGAAGCGUGCGAUUGGAUUGCACGUCUAAGCAGUAAGGCUGAGUAUUAGGGAAAUCCGGUACUCAUUAAGGCUGAGCUGUGAUGGGGAGAAGACAUUGUGUCUUCGAGUCGUUGAUUUCACACUGCCGAGAAAAGCCUCUAGAUAGAAAAUAGGUGCCCGUACCGCAAACCGACACAGGUAGUCAAGAUGAGAAUUCUAAGGUGAGCGAGCGAACUCUCGUUAAGGAACUCGGCAAAAUGACCCCGUAACUUCGGGAGAAGGGGUGCUCUUUAGGGUUAACGCCCAGAAGAGCCGCAGUGAAUAGGCCCAAGCGACUGUUUAUCAAAAACACAGGUCUCUGCUAAACCGUAAGGUGAUGUAUAGGGGCUGACGCCUGCCCGGUGCUGGAAGGUUAAGAGGAGUGGUUAGCUUCUGCGAAGCUACGAAUCGAAGCCCCAGUAAACGGCGGCCGUAACUAUAACGGUCCUAAGGUAGCGAAAUUCCUUGUCGGGUAAGUUCCGACCCGCACGAAAGGCGUAACGAUUUGGGCACUGUCUCAACGAGAGACUCGGUGAAAUCAUAGUACCUGUGAAGAUGCAGGUUACCCGCGACAGGACGGAAAGACCCCGUGGAGCUUUACUGUAGCCUGAUAUUGAAAUUCGGCACAGCUUGUACAGGAUAGGUAGGAGCCUUUGAAACGUGAGCGCUAGCUUACGUGGAGGCGCUGGUGGGAUACUACCCUAGCUGUGUUGGCUUUCUAACCCGCACCACUUAUCGUGGUGGGAGACAGUGUCAGGCGGGCAGUUUGACUGGGGCGGUCGCCUCCUAAAAGGUAACGGAGGCGCUCAAAGGUUCCCUCAGAAUGGUUGGAAAUCAUUCAUAGAGUGUAAAGGCAUAAGGGAGCUUGACUGCGAGACCUACAAGUCGAGCAGGGUCGAAAGACGGACUUAGUGAUCCGGUGGUUCCGCAUGGAAGGGCCAUCGCUCAACGGAUAAAAGCUACCCCGGGGAUAACAGGCUUAUCUCCCCCAAGAGUUCACAUCGACGGGGAGGUUUGGCACCUCGAUGUCGGCUCAUCGCAUCCUGGGGCUGUAGUCGGUCCCAAGGGUUGGGCUGUUCGCCCAUUAAAGCGGUACGCGAGCUGGGUUCAGAACGUCGUGAGACAGUUCGGUCCCUAUCCGUCGUGGGCGUAGGAAAUUUGAGAGGAGCUGUCCUUAGUACGAGAGGACCGGGAUGGACAUACCUCUGGUGUACCAGUUGUCGUGCCAACGGCAUAGCUGGGUAGCUAUGUGUGGACGGGAUAAGUGCUGAAAGCAUCUAAGCAUGAAGCCCCCCUCAAGAUGAGAUUUCCCAACUUCGGUUAUAAGAUCCCUCAAAGAUGAUGAGGUUAAUAGGUUCGAGGUGGAAGCAUGGUGACAUGUGGAGCUGACGAAUACUAAUCGAUCGAAGACUUAAUCAAAUU